This 112-nucleotide transfer RNA is filed under the name Sporisorium scitamineum. RNAcentral's name for it is "transfer RNA-Glu(TTC)". It matches the Rfam family "tRNA". Rfam says of the family: Transfer RNA (tRNA) molecules are approximately 80 nucleotides in length. The record is from RNAcentral. Lineage: Eukaryota; Fungi; Basidiomycota; Ustilaginomycetes; Ustilaginales; Ustilaginaceae.
UCCCAGUUCGUCUAACGGUUCAAGAUACGGCACUUUCACUACAUAAGCGUGACUAAGCAUUGUGCUGUUGUUGCAAUCUGCUGAGAUCGGGGUUCGAUUCCCCGGCCGGGAA